Molecule: unclassified non-coding RNA, 211 nt
Filed under: Hevea brasiliensis (rubber tree)
Lineage: Eukaryota; Viridiplantae; Streptophyta; Magnoliopsida; Malpighiales; Euphorbiaceae
Source: RNAcentral
CCAGGGUAAAUCUUGGCACCGCUGAAGCGACAAAGCUCAGUCCUAAUAUGCGAAAACCAGGUAUAAAAUUACACAUAAAAACUUUCUAAUAUAAGUAUAAAACGAAACAUAACUAUGCCAAUUAAACCAAACUCAAGAUGAUACAGGACAAUAGUGUACAGAUUUAAGUGCGCCAAUGGGUAAAAAAGAAUAAUUCAGCAGCCAAACUGAU